RNAcentral lists this ribosomal RNA (566 nucleotides) under Talaromyces funiculosus. RNAcentral describes it as "eukaryotic LSU rRNA". The stretch from base 183 to 336 matches the Rfam family "5.8S ribosomal RNA". The record is from RNAcentral. Lineage: Eukaryota; Fungi; Ascomycota; Eurotiomycetes; Eurotiales; Trichocomaceae.
GGGGGCUUCGUGCUUGAGGAUCUGGGUCCACCUCCCACCCGUGUUUAUCGUACCUUGUUGCUUCGGCGGGCCCGCCUCACGGCCGCCGGGGGGCAUCCGCCCCCGGGCCCGCGCCCGCCGAAGACACACAAACGAACUCUUGUCUGAAGAUUGCAGUCUGAGUACUUGACUAAAUCAGUUAAAACUUUCAACAACGGAUCUCUUGGUUCCGGCAUCGAUGAAGAACGCAGCGAAAUGCGAUAAGUAAUGUGAAUUGCAGAAUUCAGUGAAUCAUCGAGUCUUUGAACGCACAUUGCGCCCCCUGGUAUUCCGGGGGGCAUGCCUGUCCGAGCGUCAUUGCUGCCCUCAAGCACGGCUUGUGUGUUGGGCUCUCGCCCCCCGCUUCCGGGGGGCGGGCCCGAAAGGCAGCGGCGGCACCGCGUCCGGUCCUCGAGCGUAUGGGGCUUCGUCACCCGCUCUGUAGGCCCGGCCGGCGCCCGCCGGCGAACACCAUCAAUCUUAACCAGGUUGACCUCGGAUCAGGUAGGGAUACCCGCUGAACUUAAGCAUAUCAAUAAGCGGAGGAA